UACAGGGGGCUCGAGCGUUAGUCGGAAUCACUGGGCUUAAAGGGUGCGUAGGCGGUCCGCCAAGUGCUUUGUGAAAUCCCACAGCUCAACUGUGGAACAGCAGGGCAAACUGGAGGACUUGAGGCAGGUAGGGGCUGGAAGAACAGUUGGUGGAGCGGUGAAAUGCGUAGAUAUCGGAAGGAACAUCAGUGGCGAAAGCGGCUUCCUGGACCAGCACCGACGUUCAGGCACGAAAGCGUGGGGAGCAAACAGG
RNAcentral lists this ribosomal RNA (253 nucleotides) under uncultured bacterium. Its description in RNAcentral is "partial 16S ribosomal RNA". It matches the Rfam family "Bacterial small subunit ribosomal RNA", at positions 524 to 776 of the family's 1533-position model. The record is from RNAcentral.